Molecule: unclassified non-coding RNA, 17 nt
Filed under: synthetic construct
Source: RNAcentral
UUCGGUUUUGAUCCGGA